Molecule: ribosomal RNA, 520 nt
Filed under: uncultured Glomus
Lineage: Eukaryota; Fungi; Glomeromycota; Glomeromycetes; Glomerales; Glomeraceae
Description: SSU rRNA
Rfam family: Eukaryotic small subunit ribosomal RNA
Source: RNAcentral
AGCAGCCGCGGUAAUUCCAGCUCCAAUAGCGUAUAUUAAAGUUGCUGCAGUUAAAAAGCUCGUAGUUGAAUUUCGGGACUAAUAUGUCGGUCGUGCCUCGGUACGUACUGGUUUAUUGGUUUCUCCUUUCUGAAGAACCAUGAUGUCAUUUAUUUGGUGUCGUGGGGAAUCAGGACUGUUACUUUGAAAAAAUUAGAGUGUUUAAAGCAGGCUCACGCUUGAAUACAUUAGCAUGGAAUAAUGAAAUAGGACGUUUGAUUCUAUUUUGUUGGUUUCUAGGAUCGACGUAAUGAUUAAUAGGGGUAGUUGGGGGACAUUAGUAUUCAAUUGUCAGAGGUGAAAUUCUUGGAUUUAUUGAAGACUAACUACUGCGAAAGCAUUUGCCAAGGAUGUUUUCAUUAAUCAAGAACGAAAGUUAGGGGAUCGAAGACGAUCAGAUACCGUCGUAGUCUUAACCAUAAACUAUGCCGACUAGGGAUCGGAUGAUGUUAAUUUUUUAAUGACUCAUUCGGCGCCUUAC